This 253-nucleotide ribosomal RNA is filed under the name uncultured bacterium. Its description in RNAcentral is "partial 16S ribosomal RNA". It matches the Rfam family "Bacterial small subunit ribosomal RNA", at positions 524 to 776 of the family's 1533-position model. The record is from RNAcentral.
GACGAAGGGGGCAAGCGUUGUUCGGAAUUACUGGGCGUAAAGCGAGUGUAGGUGGUUGUCAUAGUCAGGCGUGAAAUCCCGAGGCUCAACCUCGGAACUGCCUUUGAUACUGGGGAUCUUGAGUUCGGGAGAGGUGAGUGGAACUGCGAGUGUAGAGGUGAAAUUCGUAGAUAUUCGCAAGAACACCAGUGGCGAAGGCGGCUCACUGGCCCGAUACUGACGCUGAGGCACGAAAGCGUGAGGAGCAAACGGG